RNAcentral lists this transfer RNA (70 nucleotides) under Longitarsus ballotae. Its description in RNAcentral is "tRNA-Ala". Lineage: Eukaryota; Metazoa; Arthropoda; Insecta; Coleoptera; Chrysomelidae. The record is from RNAcentral.
AGGAUAAUAGUUAACUAUAACAUUUAAUUUGCAUUUAAAAAGUAUUGAAUUAAUCAAUUUAUCUCAAAUA